Molecule: transfer RNA, 69 nt
Filed under: Enterococcus faecalis
Lineage: Bacteria; Bacillati; Bacillota; Bacilli; Lactobacillales; Enterococcaceae
Description: tRNA-Glu
Rfam family: tRNA
About the family: Transfer RNA (tRNA) molecules are approximately 80 nucleotides in length. Their secondary structure includes four short double-helical elements and three loops (D, anti-codon, and T loops).
Source: RNAcentral
CCGUUGGUCAAGCGGUUAAGACACCGCCCUUUCACGGCGGUAACACGGGUUCGAGUCCCGUACGGGUCA